This 356-nucleotide ribosomal RNA is filed under the name Eukaryota sp. RNAcentral's name for it is "SSU rRNA". It matches the Rfam family "Eukaryotic small subunit ribosomal RNA", at positions 1324 to 1700 of the family's 1831-position model. The record is from RNAcentral.
CCCGUUAACGAACGAGACCUCGACCUGCUAAAUAGUUCGACAAAGUUUUUCUUUGGACGUGACUUCUUAGAGGGACUAUCGGUGUGUAGCCGACGGAAGUUCGAGGCAAUAACAGGUCUGUGAUGCCCUUCGAUGUUCUGGGCCGCACGCGCACUACACUGAUGCAUUCAUCGAGUUUACAACCUUGACUGAGAGGUCUGGGUAAUCUUUGCAACAUACAUCGUGCUGGGGAUAGAUUAUUGUAAUUAUUAAUCUUCAACGAGGAAUUCCUAGUAAACGCAAGUCAUCAACUUGCAUUGAUUACGUCCCUGCCCUUUGUACGCACCGCCCGUCGCUAGUACCGAUUGAAUGGCUCG